This is a non-coding RNA of Punica granatum (pomegranate), 932 nucleotides long. The record is from RefSeq and is a predicted model, not a curated record. NCBI's taxonomy places the organism in Eukaryota, Viridiplantae, Streptophyta, Magnoliopsida, Myrtales, Lythraceae.
AGCUCGGGAAGCCAUAGACGCUGUUUGCUUCCCCCAUCCGAGCGUCCGUUGCCUUUUCCUUUACCUUUCCCGUUGGCUUUGUUCUUGUCUUUUCCACUGGAAUUCUUCUGUCGUCCGUCCGCAUAGUGAAUUUGAGUGAAUUGAGUAGCUAAUCGUUUGGCAGCGUUGACAUAGCUUUCCAUGUAUGAGCUCCCCUUAUGAAGGUCACGCCAUUUUUGCUCCAGAAAGUCCUCUUGAGCAGCAGUUUAGGAGAUAUACUGAGUCUCGAGACUGACCCACGCUUCAUUCGAGGUUGAGGCAGAGAGAAUGCUGCAGCCGAUGUCUUCAGUGACCGCAAGCAUGAGACAGGAACACGGCCCUCGACACAGUCAAGGAGACUGUAGGUGUCGAGCAGAGGGCUCAUGAUGCCCUUCCAGAACGAAAAAUUCCGUCCAUUUAGCGUUACUGGAACGGUGGGCAAAGAAGAAGGAAGAGAGUCUGCAGAAUUUUCCAUUGAAGGAGGAAGCCGUUCAGAGAAAAGCGGAAGCUGAUCGGGGCUGUUCAAGGCCGACAGAGGUAGGAUAAUGGGCUGAACAGGACCGAAAAGGGGUUUACGAGAGUUACCCGAUUUUAGGGCUCUGAUACCAUAAAGACAAAGGUACCAAUGGUUGAAUUCCUCACUCGAGAUGAUUUUCAUUAGAAUAUAUAGUCGUAUACAAUAUUCUAUCUAUCACAACUAUCUAUACAUGACUAAAAUAAGUCAUACAUAAAAUAUAAUGACCGAUUAACUAGAAUCUUUUGACUACUAUUAGGAACGACAAUGUAUGCAGAUAAUGCUGAUUCAAUUUUAUUUUGCUGGCAAUCUUAUGAGCAAUUUCCAUGGGUAUUAGAAUGUUGCUCUCUCCCGCAGGUUUUAAGCAUGUUACGGGAAUUUGAUGUGUCAACUGCAAAAA